CAACGUAGGGGGCGAGCGUUGUCCGGAAUGAUUGGGCGUAAAGGGCGCGUAGGCGGCCUGUUAAGUCUGGAGUGAAAGUCCUGUUUUCAAGAUGGGAAUUGCUUUGGAUACUGAUGGGCUUGAGUGCAGGAGAGGUUAUCGGAAUUCCCGGUGUAGCGGUGAAAUGCGUAGAGAUCGGGAGGAACACCAGUGGCGAAGGCGGUUAACUGGACUGCAACUGACGCUGAGGCGCGAAAGCGUGGGGAUCAAACAGGAUUAGAUACCCUGGUAGUCCACGCUGUAAACUAUGAUAACUAUCUUUUAGCGAUACACAGUUAGAGGGUACGAGAAAGCAUUAAGUUAUCCACCUGGGGUUUACGUUCUCAAGAAUGAAACUCAAAUGAAUUGACGGGG
RNAcentral lists this ribosomal RNA (393 nucleotides) under uncultured bacterium. RNAcentral describes it as "partial 16S ribosomal RNA". It matches the Rfam family "Bacterial small subunit ribosomal RNA", at positions 523 to 918 of the family's 1533-position model. The record is from RNAcentral.